AGAAUCAACGCUGGCGGCGUGCCUAACACAUGCAAGUCGAACGAGAAAGGGGAGCAAUCCCUGAGUACAGUGGCGCACGGGUGAGUAACACGUGAAUAAUCUACCUCCGAGUGGGGAAUAACUGAGAGAAAUCUUAGCUAAUACCGCAUAACACUUACGAGUCAAAGCAGCAAUGCGCUUGGAGAGGAGUUCGCGGCCGAUUAGUUAGUUGGCGGGGUAAUGGCCCACCAAGACGAUGAUCGGUA
RNAcentral lists this ribosomal RNA (245 nucleotides) under uncultured bacterium. Its description in RNAcentral is "partial small subunit ribosomal RNA". It matches the Rfam family "Bacterial small subunit ribosomal RNA", at positions 26 to 285 of the family's 1533-position model. The record is from RNAcentral.